Acomys russatus (golden spiny mouse) is the source of this 130-nucleotide small nucleolar RNA. RefSeq annotates it as small nucleolar RNA SNORA17. Lineage: Eukaryota; Metazoa; Chordata; Mammalia; Rodentia; Muridae. The record is from RefSeq and is a predicted model, not a curated record. The transcript has a single exon.
CCUGCCCCUAAAAGCAUUGCGGGUGUGGCUGCUGCGUCACAUGUGUGUCAGUAGGUGGCAGAGAGGAGAGAGGCUGUGUCUACACAGUAUUCUGACCUAUGAACAUCUGAGUGACUAGUAGCCUAGCAUU